Molecule: ribosomal RNA, 429 nt
Filed under: Chloroflexota bacterium
Lineage: Bacteria; Bacillati; Chloroflexota
Description: Chloroflexi bacterium partial 16S ribosomal RNA
Rfam family: Bacterial small subunit ribosomal RNA
Source: RNAcentral
UGGGGAAUAUUGCACAAUGGGCGCAAGCCUGAUGCAGCCAUGCCGCGUGUGUGAAGAAGGCCUUCGGGUUGUAAAGCACUUUCAGCGGGGAGGAAGGCGAUAAGGUUAAUAACCUUGUCGACUGACGUUACCCGCAGAAGAAGCACCGGCUAACUCCGUGCCAGCAGCCGCGGUAAUACGGAGGGUGAAAGAGUUAAUCGGAAUUACUGGGCGUAAAGCGCACGCAGGCGGUCUGUCAAGUCGGAUGUUGAAUCCCCGGGCUUAACCUGGGAACUGCAUUAGAAAAUGGCAGGCAAGAGUCUUGUAGAGGGGGGUAGAAUGCCAGGUGUAGCGGUGAAAUGCGUAGAGAUCUGGAGGAAUACCGGUGGCUAAGGCGGCCCCCUGGACAAAGACUGACGCUCAGGUGCGAAAGCGUGGAGAGCAAACAGG